GGAAGUAAAGUCGUAACAAGGUUUCCGUAGGUGAACCUGCGGAAGGAUCAUUAAUGAGUUGUCAUGGGGUUCGAUGCUGGCAGCCAAUUUUUGGAUGCAUGUGCUUGCCCUAACAAUCAUCUUCCAAACACCUGUGCACGUUUUUGAGGGAGUCUUGAGUUGGUUGCCGCUCUUGGGUGAUUUUCUCACAUUCCCUUAAAUCAUUAUACGCUAUUAACAAUGUUGAACGUGCUCUGUGCCGCAAGGCUAUUAAUAUAAUACAACUUUUAACAACGGAUCUCUUGGCUCUC
RNAcentral lists this unclassified non-coding RNA (290 nucleotides) under plant metagenome. RNAcentral describes it as "partial contains small subunit ribosomal RNA, internal transcribed spacer 1, and 5.8S ribosomal RNA". The stretch from base 1 to 53 matches the Rfam family "Eukaryotic small subunit ribosomal RNA", at positions 1778 to 1831 of the family's 1831-position model. The record is from RNAcentral.